UCCACCUGUUCUUGUCCACUUUGUCCUACCAUUCAGACAGGGUAGGAGAUGAAAAAUAGCUGUGUCCCAAACCAGUAGGGUGCUUUAAUGUUGCAGAAGAGAAUUCAUAAGGUUCAAGGAUUCGUUUUCACCGCACUUGGGAAGAGAAGGCCUGUCAGGGAAUCCUCCCUUGCCUGAUGACUAGGGCUUCAAAUAAUCCCACAAAACAGAAGCAAGAAAUGGAGCAACAGCGGAGAAGUUCAAAGAGGAAAGUGCAAUCCAAUCCAAUCGAAGAAACUCAAGGAGGAAGUUGGCUUACUAUAAGUUUGUGUAGGGGAUGGAACCCAGGGCCUUGUGCCACGCUAAGACAAGCGCUCCACUCUUGAGCUUCCUCCUCAGGGGAUGUUUCUAACAAAUUCCCUCGUGGUGCUGAUGCAGCUGGCCUGGGAAGCACACUUGGAAGAUCGAUCUACUCAGAUCCACACGGGUCUCCUUCAGCACGGUUGGACUCCUGCC
Molecule: long non-coding RNA, 495 nt
Filed under: Heterocephalus glaber (naked mole-rat)
Lineage: Eukaryota; Metazoa; Chordata; Mammalia; Rodentia; Bathyergidae
Description: lncRNA (ENSHGLG00000043152.1)
Source: RNAcentral